Molecule: ribosomal RNA, 253 nt
Filed under: uncultured bacterium
Lineage: Bacteria
Description: partial 16S ribosomal RNA
Rfam family: Bacterial small subunit ribosomal RNA
Source: RNAcentral
GGCGAACCGAGCGAACGUUGUUCGGAAUCACUGGGCUUAAAGGGCGCGUAGGCGGGCUGCCAAGUUUGGGGUGAAAUCCUCCGGCUCAACCGGGGAAGUGCCUUGAAUACUGGCGGUCUGGGGGGAGGUAGGGGCGUGCGGAACUGUAGGUGGAGCGGUGAAAUGCGUUGAUAUCUACAGGAACUCCGGUGGCGAAGGCGGCACGCUGGACCUUUUCUGACGCUGAGGCGCGAAAGCCAGGGGAGCGAACGGG